AAUUGGAGAUAAGAGUCUCACAGACUUUCCUACCUUGGAUGACUUUGAACUGAGAUUCUCAGAUCUCAGCCUCCUGAGUAGCUAGGAUUACAGGCGUGAGCCACCAGUGACUGGCUAAAGGAUGCAGUUUUACUUUGCACUAAUAAAUCUGCUUCUGCUUAAGUCUCCCUCUGUGUCCUUCCUCUAAUGACACCAAGAACUUUCUGCCCCUCCCCUGUGACUUGAAUCAUGACUAUACAAUCUGCCAAAAGCCCCCAGAAUUGGAACAAUCAAAGACAGACAAUUCAGGCCAACAGGAAUGUCCAAAGAAGUAAGUUAAACAGUUCCUCUACUCUGGCUCCUCCAAACAUAAAAGUAGAUACCAAAAUCUUUCUUGAAUCUUCCAAAUUGCAGCCAGUUCCACUUCAGAGAGAAUUCUUUAUAUCUCUCACCCAAUCCUUGUAUACCAGUCUCUUUCUGGAGUUAGUUCAAAUUAAGAGUUGAGAAAGCAAUAUUUAAUUCAGGGCACUAAAAUACAAGUGAAAAGGCUAAAGCAUUUCCACUAAAACUACAUCAUGUUUUAUUACCAUGUUGAAUUCUUGUGGGCUAUCAAAUUGUUGCUCCGAUAGAUAAGUGAAAAUAUCUUAAGAAGAUCUCAGAGUUGUUUGAAACACAGUACUCUCAUGCUGAAGGCACUUUCAUGCUGACUGAGAACUCAAAAACAUUGCACAAAUACCACCAAAAAGUUCAAAUAACACAUAUAACAAUGGAUUCCUAGCCCUGUAUCUUGCUAGGUGUGGGAGAGUAUGGCCGAUUUAGACAGUGAGUCACAGCACUUAGCUAUUAUGUGCCCAAUGCUCAAGGCAGCAGGGACUGGUGAUGAAUCCAACAGGGAAGUAGGCUGGUCACGUAUAACAUGUGUAUCUACCUCGGUGGGGAGGAAUUGCUGGGCAGCGGAAGUACUACAUGCAUAGAAGGUGAGGCAUAGUUGGCUUCCUGGUUCCUGUCUCAGAUGAGGCUUGGUGUACAGCCCCACAAGUCCCAACAAGAGGCACCCCAUGUGAACUCAAGUUGAGAACAGUCCUCCUCUUCCACGAACUUAGCAGAUUCUCUUCCCACACACCUAGAGCAUGGAUGUGACCCCAGUAAACUGCCUGACCUAAGCAGAAGCUGGGCAAGAACCAGAGGUUUGUCCCCCCCACAGACUCUAUGACUUUCUGCCCCAUAUCUGAGUUCCUCUGACCUCCCUUCAGAGACUAUGAACCUUCAUACCCAUGUGCAGCUGGGCAUGAACCCACAUAUAAAAUCCUUUAACUAAAGCAUAUGUUCUACCCCAGGACUUCCUGGAA
Long non-coding RNA from Perognathus longimembris pacificus (Pacific pocket mouse), 1328 nucleotides. RefSeq lists it as uncharacterized. The record is from RefSeq and is a predicted model, not a curated record. NCBI's taxonomy places the organism in Eukaryota, Metazoa, Chordata, Mammalia, Rodentia, Heteromyidae. The transcript is spliced from 3 exons.